This 320-nucleotide ribosomal RNA is filed under the name uncultured eukaryote. Its description in RNAcentral is "partial 18S ribosomal RNA". It matches the Rfam family "Eukaryotic small subunit ribosomal RNA", at positions 1470 to 1796 of the family's 1831-position model. The record is from RNAcentral.
CCCUUAGAUGUUCUGGGCCGCACGCGCGCUACACUGAACAGUUCAACAAGUCUUAACCUUGGCCGAUAGGUCUGGGUAAUCUUUGAACGCUGUUCGUGAUUGGGAUAGACCUUUGCAAUUAUGGGUCUUCAACGAGGAAUUCCUAGUAAACGCAAGUCAUCAGCUUGCAUUGAUUACGUCCCUGCCCUUUGUACACACCGCCCGUCGCGCCUACCGAUUGAAUGGUCCGGUGAAAUCUCGGGACGGCGGCUUGGUCGCUUGCGUCCGACUGCUGAAACUUGAUUAAACCAUAUCAUUUAGAGGAAGGUGAAGUCGUAACA